AACGAACGCUGGCGGCAGGCCUAACACAUGCAAGUCGAGCGAGGACUUCGGUUCUAGCGGCGGACGGGUGAGUAACGCGUGGGAAUGUGCCCUUCUCUACGGAAUAGCCCUGGGAAACUGGGAGUAAUACCGUAUACGCCCUAUUGGGGAAAGAUUUAUCGGAGAAGGAUCAGCCCGCGUUGGAUUAGGUAGUUGGUGGGGUAAUGGCCUACCAAGCCGACGAUCCAUAGCUGGUUUGAGAGGAUGAUCAGCCACACUGGGACUGAGACACGGCCCAGACUCCUACGGGAGGCAGCAGUGGGGAAUCUUAGACAAUGGGGGCAACCCUGAUCUAGCCAUGCCGCGUGAGUGAUGAAGGCCUUAGGGUUGUAAAGCUCUUUCAGCUGGGAAGAUAAUGACGGGACCAGCAGAAGAAGCCCCGGCUAACUCCGU
RNAcentral lists this ribosomal RNA (432 nucleotides) under uncultured bacterium. RNAcentral describes it as "partial 16S ribosomal RNA". It matches the Rfam family "Bacterial small subunit ribosomal RNA", at positions 29 to 506 of the family's 1533-position model. The record is from RNAcentral.